This is a long non-coding RNA of Neopsephotus bourkii (Bourke's parrot), 278 nucleotides long. RefSeq lists it as uncharacterized. NCBI's taxonomy places the organism in Eukaryota, Metazoa, Chordata, Aves, Psittaciformes, Psittacidae. The record is from RefSeq and is a predicted model, not a curated record. The transcript has 3 exons.
CUCUGGCAGCCUGCUGUUCUUGCUCCAGGCUCCUCUACUUCAUGCAUUCAGAUGCUUGUAUUUUCUGUGGCUGGAUGUAAUGAUACUCACCUGGUUCAACUGCCAAGUUAAAUGGAGUGAUUUCUCAUGUAGUGUUACAGUAAUGACCAACGUGACACAGAAGGAAAAUUCUGUGACAAUAUGAACUUGGUAUGGCCUCAUGUGCAAAGUCCCAGUUUAUGAGAGAAGGAGGAAAGGACUUGCAUCAGUGAGUGACCAAGCUCGAAGCACUUGAGGUG